UUUAGUGCUUUCAGCAAUAAAACACAUAGCCUGGGAAAAUGCUGACAAACUUCUGGCAAAUUUGAGAUUUGCUCUGCAAGUCAGACUGGCCAAGAGCCCGUUCGAGCCCAUUUCCAAUGUUUCCAAAUGAGGCGGGCUCUACACCAAUCACAACCGUUGAGGCGAGCUCUACACCAAUCACAACCGUU
Long non-coding RNA from Sander lucioperca (pikeperch), 188 nucleotides. RefSeq lists it as uncharacterized. Lineage: Eukaryota; Metazoa; Chordata; Actinopteri; Perciformes; Percidae. The transcript has 3 exons. The record is from RefSeq and is a predicted model, not a curated record.